GGAGAGUUAGUAUUAAAAUAACUUUUCGCCCAAAAGAAGACGAAUCGAGAAGAAGAGAGGAAGAAGAGAGAGGAGAGGAAAGAAAGAAAAAAAGAGAAGAAAGAAAAGAGAGGGAAGAGAGAAAGAAAAGAGAGGGAAGAGAGAAAAGAAAGGAAGGAAAGAAAUGGAGAGAAAGAGAGAGAGAGAGAGCGAGCGAUGAAAGUGGCUGCCGGCGGGCAAAUUUCGGUGAUUGGAAGGAGUAGAGGAAGAUUAGGCUUAUGGGAGGGAGGUAAGCAGGGGGCACAAUUAGAGGAUUUAUACUCCUUCGGAUCAAGGUUUUUGGCUUGAAAAAGAAAACAAAACGACCAAAUUGUAGCUGUUGACCGAUCGUGACCGCAUUCAAGCAUUUAGCCAAUUUUUGGAUGAAGGUUUUGAUGUGAAACUGCUCGUGACGACUGAAAAUCUUUGAAAUUACGGAUUCUUUCCUUCUGAGGCAUAUCUAGCUAGUUUAGCUUCAACCAUGCAGCCGAAGAAACCAAAUUGACUUGUGGGAAUCACCUUCCCCAGGUUGAAUCCAGGCUCCCAAGCUAGAGCGACUUUGGACAGUCUCCUUAUAACGGGGACCCAAACUGGUGCCAAAAGGCAACCAACUGUGGAGCGACGUGAAGAAGCUCCCCAGCCUGUUGUUGCAUAUCCAAUGAAAAAGAAGAUGAUGGGUACGAAGAGGAGGAGGAUAAUAACAGUAGAAGCGUCUGAGUCUAAGUAAGACGACUUUAGGAUAUUGCUAGGCAGGCUACAACCUACCUAACUCCUUGCUUUGAAAGCCCCUCCAAAAGAUGUGUUAAAGGCAUCUUAAAGGAAAGAAGGCGAGGCCACUCAAAGAGAACCUGGCCAAGAACAGAGAGAGGAGAUUCCUGACAUGAGAGGUCGGGACAAGUCUUUCUUAGGCCUUCUUAGGCAACUUCCAGAUCAUCUAAUGUUGGUGAUCUUCACACUUCUUGAGUGCCAACUAGAGUCGAUCUUUGAAAGGUACAUUGUCUUCUGACCUUCCGACCUUUUGGUCAUUGCGCUCCAACUGUAAAGCCAGUCUAUGCUUGCCCUGAACAUUUCACGCAUAACAAAAUGAAGAUCAACUCCGGAGGAAAACUCCAUGAAAUGAAGGAGGAGAUCAUCAAAUCGAGGCAAGCCCUGGCGGAUUCUAAUGAAGCAACAAGUGAUGCACAACUUCAAGCGAGCACACUUCUGGCAGAAAAGGACUCUACUUGCAAGCAGUAGAGUUCUAGAAGCAAGAGCUUUUGAAAAAGGACGAUCAAGUCAAAGAGCUUUAGAUGAAAAUGGCGAAGCUUACUAGAGAUCUGGGCUCAUGAGAGCAUGAGCUUAAAGAAAGAGAAAGUCAACUCCAAGAGAGCUUGAAUCGAGAAAAAGAGAUGGAGGAUUUUUGAACUGCUUUGUGGACGAACAAAGAGAAGAAAGUGAGAGCAAAAGAGUUAGAGCUCGAGGUGUCCCAUGGGCAAGUCACUUCACUAAUCGACCAAAUGCGGCAGCUUAGCAAUGAGGUGGAAAGGAAAGCUAGUUAUUGGUCGCUGCAAGUUAUUUAUACCUUGCGAGCGAACAAUGCAAACAUGGAUCUUUCCAGCCUUCUUGAAGAAUAUCAGGUAGUGCUUGCAUCGACGCAGUCGGUUGAAGAACAAGAAGACCAAGAGAUUGCCCAGAAAGAGGAUUAGCAAGAAAAAAAAGAAUCCCAAAGACCAAGCUAUUGAUCCUAAGAUCGUAGAAGCGAAAGUUAGGGGUUCUGAAGUUCAAGAGAAGUGAUCGACCUCUGCUCUGCCUACUAUUGAAGUAUCUCUUUUGUCUCUUUUUCCUUUCGAUAUAGCUUGCUGAUCAUCUAUGUACACAUUAUUUUAA
Pistacia vera is the source of this 1884-nucleotide long non-coding RNA. RefSeq lists it as uncharacterized. The record is from RefSeq and is a predicted model, not a curated record. The transcript is spliced from 4 exons. NCBI's taxonomy places the organism in Eukaryota, Viridiplantae, Streptophyta, Magnoliopsida, Sapindales, Anacardiaceae.